AGGAGUAAGAUGAUAUCGAAUAGAAGCUUCUAACUUCUUAUUCAAGCGGUUUAAAUCCGUUUUUACACCUG
This 71-nucleotide transfer RNA is filed under the name Typhlatya miravetensis. RNAcentral's name for it is "tRNA-Ser". The record is from RNAcentral. Lineage: Eukaryota; Metazoa; Arthropoda; Malacostraca; Decapoda; Atyidae.